Molecule: ribosomal RNA, 524 nt
Filed under: uncultured bacterium
Lineage: Bacteria
Description: partial 16S ribosomal RNA
Rfam family: Bacterial small subunit ribosomal RNA
Source: RNAcentral
GACGAACGCUGGCGGCGUGCCUAAUACAUGCAGGUCGAGCGCAGGAAACUGACGGAACUCUUCGGAGGGAAGACAGUGGAAUGAGCGGCGGACGGGUGAGUAACACGUAAGGAACCUGCCUCAAGGAUUGGGAUAACUCCGAGAAAUCGGAGCUAAUACCGGAUAGUUCAACGGACCGCAUGGUCCGCUGAUGAAAGGCGCUUCGGCGUCACCUUGAGAUGGCCUUGCGGUGCAUUAGCUAGUUGGUGGGGUAACGGCCCACCAAGGCGACGAUGCAUAGCCGGCCUGAGAGGGUGAUCGGCCACACUGGGACUGAGACACGGCCCAGACUCCUACGGGAGGCAGCAGUAGGGAAUCUUCCACAAUGGACGAAAGUCUGAUGGAGCAACGCCGCGUGAGUGAUGAAGGUUUUCGGAUCGUAAAACUCUGUUGUAAGGGAAGAACACGUACGAGAGGGAAUGCUCGUACCUUGACGGUACCUUACGAGAAAGCCACGGCUAACUACGUGCCAGCCGCCGCCGUAA